Molecule: non-coding RNA, 75 nt
Organism: Dama dama (fallow deer)
Lineage: Eukaryota; Metazoa; Chordata; Mammalia; Artiodactyla; Cervidae
Source: the annotation of a RefSeq genome assembly
GGGCUGGUUAGCUCAGUUGGUUAGAGUGUGGUGCUAAUAACGCCAAGGUCGCGGGUUCGAUCCCAGUACAGACCA